Molecule: ribosomal RNA, 251 nt
Filed under: uncultured bacterium
Lineage: Bacteria
Description: partial 16S ribosomal RNA
Rfam family: Bacterial small subunit ribosomal RNA
Source: RNAcentral
CGAACUGUGCGAACGUUAUUCGGAAUCACUGGGCUUACAGGGUGCGUAGGCGGCUUGUUAAGUAGGGUGUGAAAUCCCCCGGCCCAACCGGGGAAUGGCGCUCUAAACUAGCAGGCUUGAGUGAGCUAGGGGUACACGGAACUUCCAGUGGAGCGGUGAAAUGUGUUGAUAUUGGAAGGAACACCGGAGGCGAAAGCGGUGUACUGGGGCUCAACUGACGCUGAGGCACGAAAGCCAGGGGAGCGAACGGG